UGGGGAAUAUUGCACAAUGGGGGAAACCCUGAUGCAGCGACGCCGCGUGAACGAAGAAGGUAUUCGUAUCGUAAAGUUCUGUCCUAUGGGAAGAUAAUGACAGUACCAUAGAAGAAAGCUCCGGCUAAAUACGUGCCAGCAGCCGCGGUAAUACGUAUGGAGCGAGCGUUGUCCGGAAUUAUUUGGCGUAAAGGGUACGCAGGCGGUUUAAUAAGUCGAAUGUUAAAGAUCGGGGCUCAACCCCGCAAAGCAUUGGAAACUGAUAAACUUGAGUAGUGGAGAGGAAAGUGGAAUUCCUCGUGUAGUGGUGCAAUACGUAGAUAUUAGGAGGAAUACCAGUAGCGAAGGCGACUUUCUGGACACAAACUGACGCUGCGGUACGAAAGCGUGGGGAGCAAACAGG
Molecule: ribosomal RNA, 403 nt
Filed under: bacterium
Lineage: Bacteria
Description: partial 16S ribosomal RNA
Rfam family: Bacterial small subunit ribosomal RNA
Source: RNAcentral